Molecule: ribosomal RNA, 791 nt
Filed under: uncultured Alteromonas sp.
Lineage: Bacteria; Pseudomonadati; Pseudomonadota; Gammaproteobacteria; Alteromonadales; Alteromonadaceae
Description: bacterial SSU rRNA
Rfam family: Bacterial small subunit ribosomal RNA
Source: RNAcentral
UGCAGUCGAACGGUAGCAGGAAGUGCUUGCACUUCGCUGACGAGUGGCGGACGGGUGAGUAAUGCUUGGGAACUUGCCUUUGGGUGGGGGAUAACAGUUGGAAACGACUGCUAAUACCGCAUAAUGUCUACGGACCAAAGGGGGCUUUGGCUCUCGCCUUGAGAGAGGCCCAAGUGAGAUUAGCUAGUUGGUGGGGUAAAGGCCUACCAAGGCAACGAUCUCUAGCUGUUCUGAGAGGAAGAUCAGCCACACUGGGACUGAGACACGGCCCAGACUCCUACGGGAGGCAGCAGUGGGGAAUAUUGCACAAUGGGGGAAACCCUGAUGCAGCCAUGCCGCGUGUGUGAAGAAGGCCUUCGGGUUGUAAAGCACUUUCAGUUGUGAGGAAAGGUUGGUAGUUAAUACCUGCCAGCUGUGACGUUAACAACAGAAGAAGCACCGGCUAACUCCGUGCCAGCAGCCGCGGUAAUACGGAGGGUGCGAGCGUUAAUCGGAAUUACUGGGCGUAAGGCGCACGCAGGCGGCUUGUUAAGCUAGAGGUGAAAGCCCCGCGCUCAACGUGGGAACUGCCUUUAGGACUGGCAGGCUAGAGUCUUGGAGAGGGGAGUGGAAUUCCAGGUGUAGCGGUGAAAUGCGUAGAUAUCUGGAGGAACAUCAGUGGCGAAGGCGGCUCCCUGGCCAAAGACUGACGCUCAUGUGCGAAAGUGUGGGUAGCGAACAGGAUUAGAUACCCUGGUGGUCCACACCGUAAACGCUGUCUACUAGCUGUUUGUGUAUUUAAUACGUGAGUA